GCACUGCUGAGGAGUUCUAAGCAGGACGAAACAGCCUUCCAGUAC
RNAcentral lists this non-coding RNA (45 nucleotides) under Schistosoma margrebowiei. Lineage: Eukaryota; Metazoa; Platyhelminthes; Trematoda; Strigeidida; Schistosomatidae. The record is from RNAcentral.